AUUCUCUCUUGCCAUCAGACUCCUUGAAUGCGAUGCGUUUUGUGACAGCUGUAGCAGAGAGGGAAAAAGAGAGAGACGCGCUAGAGAGUGUCUAUUUAGCUCUGGAAGAGAAUGUGGCGCACUCAUCAGGACAUUACCCAGCCUGCCUCGCUCACUGAGGCAUGAUUAAAAGCAGGUCUCUCAGCCAAUGAGGUGGAGGAAUUUCUGACUCUCUCCAAAUCUCAGCCAAUCAAAGACAAGCUGAAGAGUGUCACACGGGAAGCACUGGAGUAUAAAUGCUUUAGUCUUCCAUUCAUCGUGUGUCAUGUGAAUGGGAAGGCUGAGGUCUUCUUUGGUUCCGACAAAUUUGAGCUCAUGGCUUAUUUCAUUGGGGAGAAGUGGAUGGGGCCGUACCCUAACAAGCCCACAGCCACAAUGUGAUCACUACUCCUCCAUACUCAAUAUCCAUAUACAACAGCAAGCACACACACAAACGCAGAGAUUUACAUUUAAAGGGGAAAUGUAAUAAAAUUUUCACUUUUUAGGUUUCUGGUGUGUCUGCCAGCUCGGAAAAGCUAAAAAGAAAACAAGCAGCCAGUUUGUUGAGUCUGAAACUGUGUCAUCCAGUGAGAAAUUUCGAUUUGCAGCAAGUUUCUAUGUAGCUAAUUGAAUAAGACCACCUCCGAGCCACAUGUUACAGACACUUCAUGAAGGCCCUAAAGAAUCACCAACUUGUGGAAAAUGGUGUGGCAUUCGUUGGCAGCUGCCACCCUAAGAAAAUACUUUGCCCAUCUGCCACCUCAGAAUUAUGCAGAACUAGUCUGUGUUUAUUGUGUUCAUGAAUAAAGGAACAAGGAAAAA
Molecule: long non-coding RNA, 840 nt
Organism: Sinocyclocheilus anshuiensis
Lineage: Eukaryota; Metazoa; Chordata; Actinopteri; Cypriniformes; Cyprinidae
Exons: 5
Source: RefSeq, a predicted model, not a curated record